CCUGUCAGUCGUCCGAACUAUAUGCAUCAAUACAUCGACAGCUUCCGAUCCAAGAAAGGCAUCUUUAUAAAGAAGACCAUCCUUCACACGGUCACCGAUGUUAAGACGCUUUCGGAACUCAACGGCGACUUGAGAAAGAAAAGCCGGAUGUAUAUAAGGGCGACGAGAUGAGGUAGAAUUGGAAUGCGAAGGGGCGAUGUUCGAAAUCGCAGAUGC
Molecule: non-coding RNA, 216 nt
Organism: Schizosaccharomyces pombe (fission yeast)
Lineage: Eukaryota; Fungi; Ascomycota; Schizosaccharomycetes; Schizosaccharomycetales; Schizosaccharomycetaceae
Source: the annotation of a GenBank genome assembly